RNAcentral lists this transfer RNA (67 nucleotides) under Marmota monax (woodchuck). RNAcentral's name for it is "tRNA.Ala". Lineage: Eukaryota; Metazoa; Chordata; Mammalia; Rodentia; Sciuridae. The record is from RNAcentral.
GGUUGUGGCUCAGUGGUGGAGCGCUCGCCUGGCAUGCAUAAGACACUGGGUUCGAUCCUCAGCACCA